AGCUAUGAGGUAUUAGGAAAAGCAUUCAAGCUCACCAAGCCUCAGUUUUCUCAUCUGGAAAGGCAAGAUACUAAUAAUUAACUCACAAGGUUGUUUUCAAGAUUCAAUGAAAUAACUCAGUGUUCUCAAUGUGGGACACAUUCCUGAGGUUCACACUUCUUUUAAAACAUUAUCGAAGGCAGUUGUUAAGAGAAAAGAUGUUAUAAAGCUAAAAUAUUCAGAUAAAGUAUUUGGAGAAAGCAGAAUUUUAUCUGAAGCUUGAAAAACUAUUAGGAUCUGCAGAAUGGGUGAGAAUGUUGCCUUUUUAUAAGCAAGUCAGAGCUCAGAAUAUAAUUCUCUCCAUUCUUUACUUGACUAAUUGUUAGUCACUCCUUGUUCUCUGUUUAGAUGUCAUUAACUCAGGGAAAUCUUUUCAGCCCUUCAGGCCAGGCUAUUUCCUAAACUACGUGUUAUUACCAUAUUCAGUACUUGGCACCAUAUUCCUCCCUCACCAAUCUCUGAGGCCUAUAAGGCAGGGACUCUGUCUGCCUUGUUCCCUGUUGUAUCCCUAGACCUAGCACAGCAUCCAACAAUAUCUUAGGCAUUCUGUUAAUAUUUUUUGCAUAACCGCAUGAAAUAGAAUUCAGAAUUCAAGUGGUCAGAUUUCAAAUAUGUUUGAAAUGAGAUAUAAUUUUCUUCUACAAAGUAUACAUAAAAGAUCAUAAUUUCUACUUUCAAUUCAACAACAGAAAUUACAUAACACCGGUCCUUUAGACCUUAUAGGAGAUGGAAGGACAUAGGCAUGAAUAAAUCACAGGCUUGUGGAGCUCCCAAAAUAGCAGAAAGAUUAAUACAUCAACAACAUCGGUGGUGGGAUAAGCAUAUGAUUAGGGUGUAUAUGAAGUGCUUUGAGAGCACAGAUACAGGAGCAAUUCCUUCUUCUGGAGAGAAGUUGAAGGAAGCAGGGAAAGUUGCAAAGAAGACAGUUGAGCUGGACUUUGAAGGAUGAGCUGCAAUUGGCUCAGUGAACAUGGAGAUGAAACAGCAUUGAUUUCAUUUUAAGAGUGCCUCCAGAGCACAAAUUCUGAAGCCGGGCUCUGCAACUUACUCUUCCUGGACCCUUAGGCAACUUAGUUGCCCUCUCUCUGCCACUUCAGUUUUCUCAUCUGAAAAUGGGACUAACAACAGAAUGUAUUCUGUUAGGUCCCUUAUGAGGAUUUCAUACAUUAAUCUAGGCUAAGUGCUCAGAGUAGUGCUGGGCACCCAGUAAAGGUUAUAUAAAUGUUAGUUGUUGUUGCCGCCGCUGCUGCUGUUGUUACCAUUAUACUUAGUUGUAGCCAAAACUAUUUUCAUCUGCUAAUCAAAAUGUGGCUUUAUACCCAUAAUGGGUUUCAGUCCACCUGUAUGCCUGAGCACACCAGUGGAAAACCACUGCUCUAAAAAGAAUGGAAGGGAGACAACGGUGAACAGGGACAGAUGCAUUAGAUAUUAACUGACUGUAAUCCAGGUGAAAAAUGGUGUCUUCCUAUGUAGUGAAAAUAGAACACAGCCCAGGCCAGAGCUUUGAGGUGUUAUAUUGGGAAGUGCUGGUUUAGUACUACUUACCAGAAGAGAGGUCUAAAAUCUGUCUUGCAUAUUUCAGCACGAGUACCAAUCAAGUGAGUACUCUUCCUAAGAACAGCUCCUUUUUAUUUGCUAUUUUUUGCCUCACAACCUUUAAAGCAGGAAGAUGGCUUAACAGGUCAAAGAAACAUCAUUCAUUCUGUAUACAUUGCUCUGGAGUAAACUCCUCUAUCAAUAUUUCAUGAAACAGACUCCCCAGAAUGGGAGUGCAGACUGAAGGUCAGAGACGGUCAGUCACGGCUGAUGUUGGAAGGCUUGGCUGAAACUCAUUGAUGUCACAUUCAGAGGCUGUCUACAGCCAAGACAAAGGAUGCUACAUCCUAGAGAAGGGGUUUAAAGAGAAGAUUCUACAGAGACAACUACUUUACAAACAAACAAAGGGCCCUACAUUGUCUUACAUUCAUGACAUGAUUCCGUUCCCCACUCCAGACGGUGUUCCUAUUUUUACUCAGCUCCCGGUAUUCUUUCUGUUUCCACCCAAUUAAUUGUCAGAUGAUUCGCAGUCAUGAGACGAUUUGGUCACAUAAUGAGAUGGUCCGUGAUUGCUGCAUACUUCCUCCCUUCUCCCAAAAUUGUACCAACAUGACAGAAUAAUUUUGGUGAAAAUCUUAGAAUGCAUGACCACUUCUGUCUCAGCAGCAGUUGUUUUCUGUCUUUUCUGGAACAAAAACAGUAGAAGCCCCACUAGCUGUAAAAUGCAGAAUGGCCAGUUAUCUGUCCCAACCUUCUCCAGGGCAUUAUCAGGAGCUCCUGAGUGACGAGCCAUGUUCAGUUAGCUUCCUAUGCACAGCUGUUAGCACAGUGCCUCACAAAUACAUACAUUUUUCAUAUUAUUAGAUGAUGAUUACAACCCUUUGUUAAGACUUUUUAAAGAAAAGCUUUAUCGUAUCUCAAAUGCCUAAAACCUCUUGUGUCAAGUUUGCUUUAUUAAUAAUUUAGAGAUGCUCUUUCUUUUUUUUUAUUAUACUUUAAGUUCUAGGGUACAUGUGCACAAUGUGCAGUUUUGUUACAUAUGUAUACAUGUGCCAUGUUGGUGUGCUGCACCCAUUAACUCGUCAUUUACAUUAGGUGUAUCUCCUAAUGCUAUCCCUCCCUCCUCCCCUCACCCCACCACAGGCCCCGGUGUGUGAUGUUCCCCUUCCUGUGUCCAGGUGUUCUCAUUGUGGAGCCGCUCUUUCUAUGUCCUGCCCAGGCAGAGGCCUUCCCAAAAGCUCUAGAGCAGUAGUUCUCAAAAUGUGACCCUGGACUCGCAGCAUCAGUGUCACCUGGGAGCUUGUUAGGUAUGCAAAUUCUCCAACCCCACCCCAGCAUUACUGAAUCAGCAAUUCUGGGACGGGGUCCAGCAAUCUGUGUUUUAACAACACUCCAGGUAAUUCUGGUGCACACUGAAGUUUGAGAACCAUUGAUCCAGAUGUAUGAAAACUCAUUUUCCAAGUUAACACUGAGUUCCAAAAGGUUUAUAUCAAAGUACUCCUUUUGUUGAAUCUUCCUCUGUAUGUCAAAUUACCUGUUUACAAUCCUCCGGGGGUCCCCUCUUGCCUUCAUGACAAAAAACAAAUUGCUUAGCUUGGUCUACAGAGAACUUACAAGCCAGCCCCUACCCAGCCCCGCCUCCCUACCGCAUACACCAUGCUCCACACCCACAGUGCACAUUGCCCACUUUGUGUUAUGCAUAUGCUGGGUCCUUUCCCUGGAAUAUAAUACUUUUUCCCUCCUUUGCCUGGUAGACCUCUCUCCUUGAAGACAAAGUGUUGAUAUCAACUCCACCUUCAAGUCUCUCAAGCAGAACUAGAUGCUGUUUCUUCAAUGUUUCCACAUCUUCUUGUUCACAUGUGUCUAAGAUGCUUCAAGGGAAAUCUGUCUCCCCAGACACUUGCGUACUACAUUGUAAGCCAUUUUUACUAUGAAGAAGAUUGUAAGCUCAAUUACGGGCUUUACUGCGCUGAUAACGAACACAGAUAUGAGACAAGCAGACUUGAGCUCCUGCCUCGAGGAUGGUGAGCAAAGAGCCUAAGCAAAACUGAGAGGAAAUGAAACACAAAGAGGAAACAGAAAGGGUCUCUCUUUGUCACGCAGGUUGGAGUGCAGUGGUAUGAUCACUGACUGCAGGCUUGAUCUCCUGGGCUCAAAUGAUUCUCCCACCUCAGCCUCCUGAGUAGCCAGGACUUCAGGCAUGCAUCACCACAUCUGGCUAAUUUUUGUAUUUUUUGUAGAGAUGGGAUUUUGCCAUGUUGUCCGGGCUGGUCUUGAACUGCUGAGCUCAAGCAAUCUGCUUGCCUCGGCCUCCUAAAGUGCUGGGAUUACAGGCAUGAGCCACCAGGCCCAGUCUAAGGCCUAAUAAGUUAUGCUACCAAAAAUAAAUUAUAUAAGAUAUUGUAAUUUUAUCCUUAUACAGUACAUAGUUUCUCCCAUGAGCUCUCUCCACUAUGCUAUUGUUUUUAUCCUUCUAUAGUUGGAUGAUGUGUGUGUUCUACCACAGAGGACACUGGAGGGUGGGGGAUCUCCAAAACAAGUGAGGGGAAGCCCCCUUUUCCUUUUCCACUGGAUGAUGAGUUCCUGGGGCCACAGGGAUUUGAACCUCUUAUAGUCACUUUCAGCUCUGAGCUCUCGCUUACACUGAAAUACUUGUUUUAGAGAUCAUGAUUGAUCAUCACAUUGUGUGGUUCAAAUUCCUCAUCAUAUUGACCUGAAUAUUGAAUUCAGCCUUUUCUUCUGAUUUUCACCAUUAUCAACCAACAAACCAACAAAAUGAAACAAUUUCUGAGGUAUUUAUAUGAAUAGAAGACCUUCUCAAAGAUUGGCAAUGACAAGGUACACAUCACAUGUAACUUAAAAUUCCAUGAUUGAUAUCCCCAUUCCUAAAAAUAUCAUGGUCACUUCUCAGAUGUGGACUGUAGUCUUCCACCAUAUUCUUUGAACUUUUCCUUCUUUUCUCUUUUUCCUACACUUCAAACUUUCUGUUGAUUUCGAAUGCAGAGACAGUUGAUGAUCUCUUCUGUUACGCUUUCUCUUACCAAUCCAUGCUAUCAGGGGCACAUCUUCUGCCACAAGAAGCAAAGUACUGCCUUGCUAUAUGGAAGCUCAGAUCACAUACAUAAGCCAUUCCACAUUUCCAGUGACAAUUUCAUUUCAAAUCUCACUGACGGGCUAUUUAUUUGGUGACUACUGUGUACUGUGUGAACAUGUACAUCGAUGUUCAUAUAAAAUUCCUUAUAAUCAAAAAACUAGAAAACCUUAUACUUCAGCCAGAGGGAAAUAGGUAAAUUCAUUAUGCUUUAGUCACUCAAUGGAAAAUUAUAUUCAGUAGGGAUCACAAACUUUAACUCACUUUACAACUCGUAUGUACAAAUAACUCUAAUGGCUUCAUUCAGCCUCUCAAUCCUCUAGUCUUACUAUACUGACUAGUGGGGAAAAGAUUAACUUACUCUUCGAUCGAUUUAAAGAUUAGUCUGCAAUCAUAAUUUAGGUAAUAUUCAGUCUUCUUAAAUAAAAGUGUUAAAUCUCUCACAUAGUUCCCCUUCCCCUGCUUUUGUCAUUAGAACGGCAGUGCGGUAUAUCAGGACAUCCCGCAUGACUUUUUGGCAGCAAAAAAGAGGAAGUGCUCGCAAGCAUGGUAAUGGCCUCCUCCUCUGGUCUCUGGAGUAAACCCCAAACUGCUCUGUCUUGCUAGCAUCCACUGAUGCAGGAUACCACUACUUUAGCUCAAUCUCAUCUCUUGGCUCGGUGAUCCUGAGCCUCCUUGACUAAAUAGGCCUCGAGGCUUUGACUCAGCUUCUGAUGGCCAACUACCCCUAUGCAGUUGCCACAGACCCCAUUCAGCCCUGGCCUACAGCCUGCCCAUGGCUUUGCUGCCAAAUUACCUUGACCCACCAUUACAAACCCUAUUACAGACUUGACGGCUUUUAACUCAGUAUGAACACCUUAGGAAUGGAGGGGUGUCUAGAAAAUGACAACCAGACCUUUUUCUGGGUCUCAUAGGACCACUCAGCUUCCCCUUCCUAAUCACUAGGCUGCCCCACUGUGCACAGAAGUGUCCUCCCAGGGUUCCCAAAUGAGAGUUGGAGGUGGGGAGUAAAAGCUUCCUGGAGGCUGUUUGCUCCCUCAACUUGUAAAAUGCACAGUAAAUUGGGGCCUACAUUUAAUUCUUUCACUUUCUUCCUUUCCCUCUCCUCUCUGUCCCACUUCCUCUGAGACAGAGAGUGAGUUUUUAUUUUGCUUCCUUUUGUCAUAUACAUACCCCUGCACCUGCUGAGCAACAGUCUCCAUGCUUUGCUGUUAAAGACGGAAUGAGCAUCUUCUCUACACCAAAGAGAACUCUAUGGUGGAGGUCAUCCAGGCUUGGCUGUAAUAUGCAAGAGAGGGCAGUAGCCAAAGGAACGUAGCAAAGCCUUUCUCCUGCAGCUGGGAUCCUAUUUACAUGUCAGAAACUAAAUAUUAUCUCAGUCUUUCUCUUGAUGUUACUCUCAUGCCAAGCAGGAGGAUAGAGCACUAUAUUUAGAGGCUACUAAAUAUCCAUGUAGUCUCCCAAUACGGAAUAGAAAACUUUUGAACUCUUAAAUUAUCUUUGUCUGCAUAUUUAUCUUCAACAACUGCUUAGCAAGCUAAAAAAUCCUCAGAAGAAAAAAAAAUCCAUUUGAAGGGCUUGAAAAAUACAACCUUUGAGUAAGAGGAAACUUUCUGCAGUCUAUAAAGUCAAAUCUCAGAAUGGCAGUCCCUUUAACAUGUGGUCUUCUAUUCUUUAUGUAAAUGCCACCAAAACUCACUCCUUCACAAGACAACCCACCUUGUCUAGGGACAGCUCAUGUUAUCGGAAAGACCUUUCCUCUAUUAGGGAGAAACCAACUGAGUUUUUUCCUCUACCUGGAAUAUCCACCUCCUCUGGUGUCCCCUCUCAGAAUUCUACCUGUUUUUCCGGACGCAUGUGAAAUGCCACCACUUUAGUAUGUCAUGUCCCCAGUCACAGUGCACCUUAGGUUUAUCACUGACAAUCUCCCCCACCAGACCCCAGGCCCAGGAAGGCAGACCUCUCCCUUCUUCAUUGAAGUUCCUCUUGUAAUGAGCACAUAGUAGGUGUUCAACUUUUGUUGCAAUGAAUGAGCUCCCUGUGUUCCAACUGCCUUCUGGGCCCUGGAAUCAUUUCUUAAGCAAACGGCUCAGCAAUGGCAAAAAAGCAGGUAGCUGUAAGGCAGUGAGACAUACCAAUGGCAAAGAUAAAGGGCAUAUGACAGACAGGAAAAGGGUGACACAGUUCUGUUCCUUGUAAAGUUAGGCGGCUCACUAUGCAUCUCUAAGCAUGCAGGGCAAAUGGAAUGCUUUGCGACGGCAGCCUGCACACCGUGUGCUGUAUUUAAUGUUCUUCAGCUGUGUGACAGGACUGACAAAACUGAUCCCACCUUCAUCCUUAUCUAAUCAUUUUAUGGGGCAUUAAGCUGCCUUUGCCUGAACGGUUACCAGCUGCAACAACACUCCAGGAAAGGACACAACCCUGCUUAUGAUAAAGCACAUUACACUCAUGGAACCCGUCUCUAUGAAUCUCCGAUUCACAGUUUAUAUAAUUUACCCUAGGCUCAUCCUCCACCUUCCCUUUGGGGCGUGGACCUACACUCAUUCAGCUGUAGGCAGUUGCCUAUUGAAGGUGCCGUGCUGCACUAACACAUUGUUAGGGUUUUAAAGUUGGUGAGACUUUUCCCUGUGGCAACACAACUUUCCCAGCCUCUAGGUUAAAUGCAGACAGCUUACUGAGUGACUUUAAAGCUAAGUAUCCCUGCUUUGUAAACUUCAAUGACCACAGUUUUUAUUAUAAACAGUGGUUACCUUGAUUGUGGGGUCAGCCUCCCUGUGGAAAGACACAGAACCCUCUGGUCACCUGAAGGCAUUUCAAACAUGUUUUUGCUUGAAAGGAUCAUCGCUGCGUGCCUGUCUUCAUUCCUGCUCUCUUCUCCAUGUGCUUUGCCUUGCUGCUGGUAUGUGUUCAUUCUGCAGCUGCUGGCAGCUGCAACUCAGGGCAGUAGGAUUCCAGCAGGUGAGGAAUGUAUAUUAUGCAAGCCAUGGCAACUAGAAACACCAACAUCUCCUGCAACCCCUGAAAAUGAAUGGCACAGCUCUGCAACAAAGUCCAUGUAUUAGAACUUGCCUGUGUCCUAGGAGUGAGCUAUUAGCCCUGACAGAGAAACAGACAGGGAGUGUGGUGAGGUGGGACCUGGAGCCAGCCUGAGUUUGGAUCCUGGUUUGACCUGGAGUGAGUUAUGGAAGCUCUCUGUUGUCUCAGUUUCCUCAUCUGCAAAAUGAAGGAAAUAUCUCAAAAGCUAGUUAUGGAGACUAAAUGAGUUAACGCAAAUAAAGUACUUAGAAUUGUGACUGGCACAGAAUAUGCCUUCAGGACACAUGAGCUUGUCUGGAAGAUGAUCGCAUCUGUACCCAAGUAUUUAGUUAUUAUGGAUAAGCCCAUGAUGUACAAAGUUCUAACUGCAGGGAAGACCUCUCCUAAUGGAACAUCUCCCCUUGGGUAUCUCUAAAGCUCCUCAACCUCAGCAUGUCCAACACCAAAUUCAUGAUUGUCCCUUUCCAAUCCAGGUCCUCUCCAAUGCUCUUUUCCUCUAAGAACAGCACAACUAUUCACCCUGGAUAGCCUUCUCCUUCACCCUCAGCCUCCACAUUCCCUACUUCGAGCUACCAUCCAGGCUCCAACCAAUGCCACAGCCAGCCCUUCCCACCUGGUCUCCCUCAUCCUCUCACCCCUCUCCAAUCUGUUCUCCAUGCAGUGGCCAGAGUGGUGAUCUGCUAAGUCACAGUGACAGUGUAUCUCCUGUCACCAAUACAUACACACACACACACACACAUGCACGGACACACUCCCUAAAAUCCUUCAGCAGCUCCCACUGGCUCUUAGCAUAAAAGCAAACUCCCUACAAAGCCCUUCAUGUCCGGCACUGCUCACCCCAUCAGCCUCAUCUUGCACUGCUUUCUUCUUGCUCUUUGGGAUCCAGCCAUGUCAGCUUAUUUCAGAUCUUUAAUACAACAUGAGCCGUCCUUUGUACCUGCUGUUCCCCAUCCCUUUGCCUAGAUAAGUCCCGCUCAUCUUCUGGGUUGCUUCACUGUCCCCCGGUUGGCUAAUCUGCUUCUUUUGUCACCUGUGUAACAAAUUCCCUGCAUCACAUUCUCUUUGCUUGAAAGGCUGAAAGUUUUCUGUUUUCCCGGUUUGGCCCCGAAUGAUGAGGUGAGGGGAUGAUGCCUGGGUACUGGUGGUCUCCACCGGAGACUGGGGAGGGGGACACGAGCUUUCCUGAGCCUCUGGCUAAAGUCAGGUUUCCUUUUUCAUACAUCCUCAAACAGCCUUCCCUUUGAAGCUGUGUCUGUAAUGGCGAUGCACUAGAGUGACUCUGAAUAAUGCCUGUCUUCCCAAUAGACUAAAAACUCCAGGACAGCAAGGACUUAGCACAGUAUCCAGCCCAUGGUUAGGUGCUCAAUAAGUAUUUCUAGAAUUCCUUAACCAAUAGAAGAUGUAUGUCUGUUCAGUACUUCCCCAUAUAUUGCUUCAUUUAAUCUUUAUGCAGUCUUCAUUUAAUCUUUAUCAAACCUUUAAGUUAAGUAUGAUUGUCCUAUUUUAACAUAUGAAGACUCAAGGCUGAAGGACUAGACGAUUUGUUCAAGACCAUGCAGAGGGUAAAUGGAAGAACUUAAAUUCAAGUAUUCCAUUGGGAAGUCAAGCCUCUUCCCACAAAAGCUUUUGCCAGGUUCUCUUUAAUUGUCUUUUAGCAUUGUACAGAAUCUUCAGUGAGAGAAUUAUUUCUACCUGCAUUAAGAUGCUGAACAGGUCUAAAUUCGAGUCGUGGUGUACCUCAGAUGGUUCACCCUUAGCCCUCCUUCUGACAGCUCUGCCUUGCUUGUACAUCCUGGCCUGAGAGGGCAAGAGAGGGAAAGAGCUCUUGUCAAAGGGAGGGCUGGGCCUCUGUUAAUCCUGACAUAACUUCCCAACAGUCUGAGGUGCCACAUGUGUUCCCCUCCCCAAUCUCCAGUGGAGACCACCAGUACCCCGGCAUCAUCACCUCACUUCAUCUCAUCAGAGCCAAACCAGGAAAGCAGAAAACUUUCAGCCUUUCAAACAAAGGAAAUGUGAUGCAGGGAAUUUGUUACACGGGUGACAAAAGAAGCAGAUUAGCCAACUGGGAACAGUGAGGCAACCCAGAGGUUGGCAAUAGUAGGAAGCCACUGCCACCCCUAGGCUAUAAGCACAAGAAAGGAGGAGACUUACCAGAGACCAAGGGCCCAGGUGACAUUGAACAUGGAGGAGGAGAAAUACCUGGUGUGGUAAGGAGGAUAAUCUCCCCCUCAAGACGUCCACAUUCUAAUCUCUGGCACCUGUGAAUAUGUUAUCUUACACGGCAAAAGGGGCUUUUCAGAUGUGAUUAGGUUAAGGCUCUUCUGAUGGGGAGCUUAUCCCACAUUUUUGGGGUAGGACCAAUGUAAUCACAAGUGUCCUUAUAAGAGGGGAGGAAGGAGGGUCAGAAUUAGAGAAGACAAUGUGCAGAAGUUAGAGUGAUGUGGUCACAAGCCAAGGAAUGCAGACAGCCCCUAGGUGUUGGACAAGGAAAGGAAAUGGGUUCUGCCCUAGAGCCUCCAGAAGGAAUGCAGCUCUGCUGACACUCUUAGUCUCAUAGGACUUAUUUCAGAUUUCUGACUGCCAAAACUAUAAGAUAAUACAUUUGUGUUGUUUAAGCCAUUAAGUUUGUGGUAAUUUGGUACAGCAACAAUAGGAAAUGGAUCCAUCCGGCUCACCCCUUCCUCCUGUACUUCAAUCUUGCCACUAGCUGAACCCAACAGGAAGCUAAGUGGCAGAGAAGUGAGGGAAAUACAGCCUGCAAAGAAGGACAAGGGAAGGACCUGGGGGCAAACAUGCCCCCAUGUAUAUAAUGAAAACAAGGCUUAUUCUCUUCUGAUUCAUUCAAAUUCCGUUGCUUAAUCAUGGGAAUCAUGGAAUGGCAUUUGGUCAAGGAGUAAUUUUCAUGAGAUGGUUUGGUAAUUUUCUGGACUUCAUUUUAUUUUUCAUUAUUUUAUGAGCAUGUAAAUCAAAACAGAUGAUAUCACCUCAUCUUUCUCAAUGGCAUCAGUAACAGAACAAAAUCAAAUGAAAGUGCUCCAUAAAAAUGAGCACUGCCCAAGUUAUAGUGUGUGCGGGCUGCUGCCCACUACUCCCUUCUCUGAGUCAUUCCCCGAUGUGACUUGGCAGCCCAGCUCCAUCAGCUCUGUGGUUGAAAAAAAAUGGGUCAUUGCACUGCGACAAAAGGACAUUCAUUGAAAAUACAGCAAUUAAGAAAAAUUUGAGCUCCAAUAGUCUCAAAUGACCAAAGGAAGCUUGUACUUGCAGCGUGUGGGUGCCAGCAGCAGGCAGACCAACAAAGCAGCAGGAGUUCCACCAGCAGCCACCAGGGACACGUCUAAGAAUUCUAUCAAACAGAAGGAAGUGGCUGAACUCCACUGAUGCAGGGGACAGGAGGCCUUGGAAAAGGCUGUUUUCAGCAUUACUAGCAUUUAAUUGAAACAUUCUGGAACCUGUAGUCCCAGGACCUAAAAAUAGGGCAUCACAACAAAAGACUCAACAAUAACGUUUUUCCUUAUGAAAUUUUAUUUUUGCUUAAAUAUAGGGGAAUAUAUAGGACACUGUAAAGGCAAAGUCUCACUGGUUUCUCUCUCUCUCACACACACACACAGAAUUGGAAGAGUUCAUAAAUAAAACAAAUUAGCAAAAAUGUUGAUGGUUGUUGAAGCUGGAUGAUGGGUACAUGAGUGUUCAUUGUAUUAAUCUCUCCUACCUUUUGUUUUAAAAUUUUUAUUAAAAAGGGAAAAUGUAAAUGUUGAUUUCAUUGGAUACAUGUUUUCCCUAGUUAGUCUUCCUUUACACUGUUCAUUUCAUUGUCACUAGGCUUCACCAUGUCUCUGUGUCGUGGGACCCAGCAGCAUGCAGAUAUUGCCAAGUGUGCUCUGAUUCUGUCUGUACUUAUGUGGAAAGCAGAAGCCUGCUCUGGCAGAGGAAGGGCGGUGUCCAGGCAAUAGGCAUAGGAAAUGAGUAGGCAGCAGGCUGAAGAGGGUGAAAAAAAACAGGGCAAGAGCAACCCCUCCACUGAAAUGCACUGGGAAGGGGGACUUAGAUACUAACACAAGUUCAAUUCAAGAAGCAUUUAUUGAACCGUCCUCAUGAGCCAGGUCAGGGUGUUCAGCACUGAGCGUGUCAAGACGAAGACACAUAGCCUCUAAGUGUCCACCAUCUACAAUAGCUAAUGUUUAAUUGUCCUUAAAAGUUGAAGAAUGUUGACUGGAUUGUCUGCAAAUCAGUCAUGUGAGUAGUGUUAAUCUAAUGAAGAAGAAUCUUAAAAGACAAAUUCUCCAAAUGCUGCUGCUCCUGCAUCCUGCUGCUCUACCUGCUGUGGGGAGGAGGUGAGUGGAUGAUACCCAGCUUCCUUUCGUGGCAACAACACUUAAAAAGUAAGGUGAGACUUUGCUUUUCUAGAGAGUACUGAGAUGGUCAAGAUAUGCACUGUUGAUGGGCUAAUUUUCAGUGUUCAUAGCACAGCACAUAAUGCCAAAGUGGAACACAGUGAGAAAGAGAUUCAUGCCAAUCCCUUUUGGGAACAAAUGUCUGAAAAAUCACAAGGGUCACUGGCUCUGGUCUCGCUUGGUUCUGUCACUGUGGGGAAUGGGGGAUGGAGGAGUGAGGAAAUACGCCAGGAUUGAUAAUGGUCAGUGAAAUGCCUUGCCCAUCUAAAGCACUGCUCCCCUCCCCCUUCUUUUCCUUCUUAACAGCUGGCCCGAAGAACCUAAACUUAGCAAGGGCGAGGUGUAGGAAACUAGAUAGUGCAUUCUACAGUUGGAUAGGAAAUACUGGGCUCAAUGUGUUUAAGGUUAAGAUUAAUUCCUCACUUCCUCCGAAUCUAUUUUAAAAACAGAGCAAAGGAUGGCAUAUGCUUUCUUCUAACAAAAUGACAGAUGAUCAAAGGAUAAACAUGAUCUGCAUGUAAAACCCUCUGACUACUGCCAUGGCCCUUUGCCUACAGAUUAAAAAAAAAAAAGCAGUAUUUUAUCAAUGUGGUUAAAAUUUGGUUGUCUGUGUUUAUUCAGAAAACUCAGUAGUGGCAACAGCCAGAAAAAUAGUGAAUCAUGAUUGGCUAAAUUGAAACAAGCCAGUAGUAGAACAAAGGAAAAACUUAGUGGUACUCUGCUCUUAAAUGUCUGCUUCACAGCAAUGAACAGAGACCACAGCCUCUCUCUCUGCAAGAGGGAGCUUGAGGUUCAAGUCUGAGACUUAGUUUCUGAAAGCAGAAAUCUGCCUGCUGUCGAGGCGGCAAAUCAAUUUUUCUGAUUUGCCGUAACAAUCCUAAUUGAUGUUGGCUCAUUAUUAUUCCCUGCGUUAUGUAAACAAGAACUCUCAUUGUGUGCAGCCACUCAUUAGGGCUGAUUUAAUUGAAUUUGAGAAGGAAAGGAAUGGCUGCCUUGGGAAGCAAAGUACCCUAGGCUUCUGAAAGAGCAGCGAGUGCUCCACAAGUGACUUACAAGUGACGCUUAUGUCAGAUGCGUGCACAGGAAGAAUGAGAGCAGACCCUCUCCCCUCCCUUUUUCUCCCUAGAGUGGUUUAUAUGGCUCUUCAUUAAUUGUGUUUGCUGCACAGUGCCUCUGCUUUGCUUCUUUGAUGUAGUUAUUUUUGAUGUCCCAUCAAGCUAUGGCCCCCUUUGAGUUUUUCAAGACCCCACAAGUCCCAGAGAAAUGCCAUUCAAUCUGUGAUUCUUUAAGUGUAAAGAAAAUCAGCUCAGAAAUUGGCAGGCCGAAACAUUCUAAUGGUGUCAAAUUUCAUUGUUAGCACUCUGGGCCUUUUUUCAACCAAAGCACUUUGAACUCUGGAAGGAGCCUGGCCUGUCUUUGAAUAGGGUGUAAUUAUCAAGCCCAUUCAAUCAAUCAUUUACUCAUUCUACAAAUACUUCUUGAGUUCCUAAUACUAUGUGUUGCUCUCUUCUCUAGGCAUUGGGAAUUAGUGUUAAACAAGACACAAAAUGUGUGCUCUCAGGAAGAUCAUAUGCCAGUGCAGAGAGAUGAUAAACACGAAAUCCAAUAAAUACACAGUUUGUGCCAUGAAGAAAAUAAAACAAGCUGAUGAAAUUAUAACUACCAGUGACCACUCCCUGAUAUGCUGCAGAUGCAAUUGAGUAGCAGCUUCAUUCCACAUUUCUCCAACAUCUUUCAUGGUGAGGUCAAGAGCAUAUUCAAAACCAUGUGUGGCUCAGUCCAACUGGAGAGACCAAGUCAAAGAGCCUCAUUUCCAUAAGGUAGAAUCUUGUCCAUACCUCUUCACUCACAACACAGACCAAUCUUGCAGAAGCCAGGAGGUUCUGAGUAAGGUCUGCAUAAAGAAAUAAUACCAUAGUUUCCAAUUGGCCAGUUUCGUUCUCUAACCAAACAGCUGCUGCCUGCUUACUGAGUGUGCAUGCCCACGCACACUCACACUGACUGUAACUCACCAUCAGCUGUAACCAGGCAGUUCUCUCAAGCCAUCUGCAGCUGGGCAAAAACCUAGAAUGAUUAAGUCAUUGAUAGAACACCACUUUCCUAAAAAUGGCAAUACUUAAAUACAUCUAAUCCUGAUCAAUACCUUGAUAUUCUAUAUCAUACAUUUAAAAAUCAAGUUGCCUAAUUAUUUUAAAUAUAUUCCAAAUGAACAAAAACACAUUAUAACUCCAAAUCACCAUGUUACCACCACCAUGGCGUGGAACCUUCCUGUCCACUCCAGAAGGCAGUUUUGUGCCCUCCUGGGCACCUGUGUCGCAGCCUAGAGACACUUAGACAUCCACCGGGAUAGUCCCAGGGCUCAGCUGUGUUGUUUCCAUGUCUCAGUGAUCACUUUUCUUUGUUGCCUGAUGUCUCAACAUUUUGAAAACUGCUGUUUCACAUAUUUUGUCUGGUUUUCUAGUUGCUUCAGACAGGAGUUAACUACAGUCCUUAUUACUUUGUCUUUCCUGAAAGCAGAAGUCUUUUAACUAAAGAAGGGUAGAUAUUAAAUGUAUCAUCUUUAGAAUUUGAUGAGAAAGUAAAAUUGCUUCCUCACUGUCCUCACCGGAUUCACAGGGGGAAAUGAUUCAGAGGCUUUUGCCUUUACCUCCUAGAGCAUGUUCUUGCAACUGUUGGGCUAGUCUUAUCUGGCCAAACUCUGUUACUAACAGAAUGUCUAGUUAUUUUGCAGGCACAGAGUUAAGAAGUGGCAAGUUAACACAGCCAGAGCAUGCACAGAAGAAAACUUCGACCUCAAAUAACACCUAGAACCAAAGUCCCUACCGCAGAACUAAAAGAUUGGGAUGUGGCUGGAACUCAAGCACCUAAACACUUUCAAAAGUGAGCAGUUCGUUUUCUAGGAAUGUUCACUGAUAAGACCCUUCCCCUUGCCUUACCAUAAAUAGUUACUUAAAGAUCCUCC
RNAcentral lists this long non-coding RNA (15055 nucleotides) under Homo sapiens (human). RNAcentral's name for it is "HSALNT0012053". Lineage: Eukaryota; Metazoa; Chordata; Mammalia; Primates; Hominidae. The record is from RNAcentral.